CGCGCGGCCACCGCAGCGCGCGAGGGGCGGCAGCCCAGGGGCUCAGAGACGCGGAGACAGCCCGAGACACUGCGGGCCAGAGACGGGGCCCUGGACUGGGAGAGGGGCGCACAGACUAUUAGACAGCGCUGGAGAGAGACGCUCCUAGGGCCAGAACGCCGAGGUGGAGGGAGAGAGAGAGAAAUUCAGAGGAGACCAGAGACCCAGAGCCCGGCUCCGGCUCCGGGAGAGACGGACAGAGGGAGCGGAGAGAGGAAGGAGGACAGGGAUCCAAGGGAGGCCCCCACGAAGUCAAGAGGAAAGUCGCUCUGGGAUCAGAGACAAGAGAGGGACCCCCUCCAUCAGCCCCCGCUCCAGGGGUUCUGGAUCAUUUAUGGCGUCUGACCUAACCUCAAAAGAGAAAGGAUUCCCGUGAUUUUAACCCUCAAGGGAUAAGUAAAACACUUGCACAUCCACCUGGGGUUCUAGGCUGGAGCAGGCUUUGUGGACCCCAGCGGCCUGGUGUGCUGGCCUUAAGAAUGUUCUUACUCGUUUGAGCUGAAAUCUACAACCCGCAUGUCCCAUCCAUGAGUUCUGCUCUGCCUUCCGACACCUCACCCAACAAAACCAGGGCUUCCCAAGGCCUUCUACCCAAACUCCCUAGUAUGGAUUCACCCAGGGAGAACAACCAUCCACGUUUGCCAGAGCUCACCUCCCAGGAAACCCAUGAGUCCCAAGAGCUCUGGAUCCCAGAGCCAGAUGACAGCACCAACUCCAACAGAUGUAGAAUUUCAGAAGCUCUGGGCUCCUGAAUCCAACGCUGUUCACCAGCACCUGCCAUUGGUCACCAGCUGGGAGAGCAGGAAUGGACCCUGCAGCCUUUCCCCACUAUGAGAAUGGGACUGGGGAUGAGAAUAACAAGGACUAUUGAUUGAACAGGCGGUAUUUACCCUCAUGUACUCUCUCAGCUACAUUGCGUUAUCCUCAGCAUACACAUAACGAAGUGGGGGCUAAGAAAGUUCGGUGCUUGUGGUCAUGGAGGAUCAAUUUCAGGCCCCUGUGCUUUGUCUACUGGGCCUCACUGGCCUCACCCUUCCCUGAGGUGUUUCAGAGGCCUGAUAGCCUGGACAAUGUCCAGGCUUGGCCACCUGGUCUGUAGGUGUGAGUGGUCACGCAGGAGACAGAACGCUGGCUGCAGAAGAAGCAAUGCGCCUGCCACAGAGGGGACACGCCUGGGCCUGAGCUCCUCCCCAGCCCUGGCUCACAGUAGCAGCAGUGACCAGAGGGCAUCAAGGGCCCUCCUGCUUCUGGGCACAGCUUCACGUUGUGUUUGUGUGUGUGCCUGGGUAUGUGUGCAUGGGGUGUAUGUGUGUGUGCUUGUGUGUGCUUAGGGAUGCAUGCAUGGGUGUGUGUAGGCACACUCGUACACACAAACACAGGCAAACACCUGCUGACAGAUGCUCCCUGGGUGGGCACCCAGACCCCUUCCCCUCCCACCACUUAGUCCUCACAAACCCUAAACUAGUCACCCAGAAGGGCCUGGGUGGAGCGGUUAAGGGGAGGUGCCAAGUUGAUGGGAGUUUCAGAACUCAUCUCUCCAGACCACUCCACACCCCAUUUCUCAGAUGGGAAGACAGUAAGCCAGAUCUGUCCCCUGAAAACCACGACUCAGAGGCCCAGAUCCAUGGUUCCCCUCUUUAAACCUUCACCCCAGCCUCUGUCCGCCCCUAAGGCAGCCCCUGAAGGCACUGACUGUUACCAGCUGCCAAGGAAGUUCCAGCCCAGCCUUCUGACAGAGCAAACACAUCAAAACUCAAGGCCAUUAGAUUAACUGGUGGGAGUUAACUUCCUGCGUCAGAAGAAUUGUCCUUAAUUGAAGAAAGGGAUAACUAGCAAUUUAGCCACGCUGACCUCUGCUGCCCGGAGGAAAGAGAGGCAGGAGCCAGCCAGGGCCUACGGGGCCUCCCAGUUACCAGAGUUACUGUGCCAGUAACUCUCCCAGUUACCAGAGUUACUGUGCCAGGAGACCAGAUCAAAUCCCUUCUCUGAGACCUGGCACCCAGGCCCUUUCCUCUGACCACAGCUUGUUCUGCUCCUGCCUUCACAGUGGCCAGCUGCUCCCAGGCCCAGGCAAGCAUCUAGCCCAGAGAACCAGUAAAAAUGAGCAGGGGCCCAUCCUGUCAAUGGCUGUGGAGGACGUGUGCAGAGAUGUGGACAGGUUGGAGAGCUCCAGGUGGGUAAGGAGUGGGAGCUGGCUGCAAGACAACUCCUCGACAUGGCAGACCCCAGGCCUGGCUAUCCAGCCUGGACAGCUGGUGUGAGCACUUGGAAAGCUAAGUGACAGUUCCUAGGAGCCAACAUGGCCCCCCUGAAAGCUAGUCAUGCCAGGCAAAGCUCAUUUCCUAUUUGGACACGGUUAUAACGACUAGUGGAGUUGGGCAUCGCCUUGCCUUCUGGGCCUGGGUUGGGGCACGGCUGCUGCCCAGCUCUCUGACAGUAACUUUGUAAACAACAAAGGGAGUCAGGAGCAAGAAGAUAGCCUGGUCAAGUGGCUUACCCCGGUCCACUCCCUGAUGGGCUCCAGUGGAGGGAGCCUCCACCUCCCUCCAGGACUUGAGCCAUGUCAAGCAUCUCAGCGCAAGUGCUCACAACAGAGAAUAAGCUGUGUAAGAAGGACGCUGCUCAUGCAGACUGGACAGAUGCACGGCUGUUCACCAUGGCCUUGACAAGCUGGGACCACGGGCCAAACCCAAUCACCAUGGCCUUGACAAACUGGAACCAUGGGCCAAAGCCAAGAGGAUGACAUGAACAUGGACAAGCAAGUGGGGCCAUCCUCCCAGGCCAAACACAAACAUCCAGCUAGGAGUGUUCACUCCCACUUGUAAAUUUCCACAGCCCCUUUUGUCCUUGAGUCUCACUCCCUGGCCAAUAUCACAUCACUAUGUCUCACCUGGACCACUGGAAGCACCCCUUCCUGAUGUAUUUCCCAGCCUAUGUACCCUUCUUCACCCCCUCCUUUCUGGUUCCUAUGCUUUAAAGUGUCAUGGUUGCUGUCCACUGCCAUGGGAACCACCCCUAAUCAUAAAAGUAGUCCCAGACACAGUUGCUCUUCCUUGGAGUCUUACAGAAUUGUUCUGAGAGUAGCUGGUUUCUUGUCACCGUCUCCUCCUUGCCCCAGGAUGCCCCCAAUUCCACCCAGCAUCCAGAACACUGAGUGGAACAUGCCCUUCCAUCCAGAAC
RNAcentral lists this long non-coding RNA (3219 nucleotides) under Homo sapiens (human). RNAcentral's name for it is "HSALNT0236544". Lineage: Eukaryota; Metazoa; Chordata; Mammalia; Primates; Hominidae. The record is from RNAcentral.